AGUUCAGAAGCGAUAUACGCGUUAAGUUUCGGCCUUAGAGUAGAGGAUUACCUCCUGAAUUU
This 62-nucleotide transfer RNA is filed under the name Plakobranchus cf. ocellatus HW-2015. Its description in RNAcentral is "tRNA-Arg". The record is from RNAcentral. Lineage: Eukaryota; Metazoa; Mollusca; Gastropoda; Plakobranchidae.